GCAUUGGUGGUUCAAUGGUAGAAUUCUCAUCUCCUAUUGGGGAGACCCAGGUUCAAUUCCCAGCCAAUUCA
RNAcentral lists this transfer RNA (71 nucleotides) under Loxodonta africana (African savanna elephant). It matches the Rfam family "tRNA". Rfam says of the family: Transfer RNA (tRNA) molecules are approximately 80 nucleotides in length. Their secondary structure includes four short double-helical elements and three loops (D, anti-codon, and T loops). Further hydrogen bonds mediate the characteristic L-shaped molecular structure. tRNAs have two regions of fundamental functional importance: the anti-codon, which is responsible for specific mRNA codon recognition, and the 3' end, to which the tRNAs corresponding amino acid is attached (by aminoacyl-tRNA synthetases). tRNAs cope with the degeneracy of the genetic code in two manners: having more than one tRNA (with a specific anti-codon) for a particular amino acid; and 'wobble' base-pairing, i.e. permitting non-standard base-pairing at the 3rd anti-codon position. Lineage: Eukaryota; Metazoa; Chordata; Mammalia; Proboscidea; Elephantidae. The record is from Rfam by way of RNAcentral.